Long non-coding RNA from Hypanus sabinus (Atlantic stingray), 382 nucleotides. RefSeq lists it as uncharacterized. NCBI's taxonomy places the organism in Eukaryota, Metazoa, Chordata, Chondrichthyes, Myliobatiformes, Dasyatidae. The transcript has 3 exons. The record is from RefSeq and is a predicted model, not a curated record.
AUCCUUGUGAUUGACGGUUAGUUUGGCCACUGAAGGACUGCCUUUUGAGAGGCGACUUGAGAGGCGAAUCAAUCAGAGAGGAGCCGUGCCGUAAAGGUGGGACUUCCGAUAUCAAGGUUGGCUGUUAUGGAGGCGCAAAGCUUCCUCGAUGUCGGGAGUGAUAGAAAUGGUGAGGUCACACAAAGAAUCUCCAGUAGCUGGCUACAUAAUCUUGGCUGACACUGCUGUACCAAGUGAAUGCUGCACAACUGGAGGUGUCACCUUUCAGCAGGAGCUUUUUUCACCAGCAACAUUAGUGUGAGAAGAGUAGGGUAGAUUUAGAUCUGGAGUAGCUGAAUCACUUUGCUUCAGAAUGGAGAGCCAUAAGCACAAAGCACCUAUA